Molecule: ribosomal RNA, 497 nt
Filed under: uncultured bacterium
Lineage: Bacteria
Description: partial 16S ribosomal RNA
Rfam family: Bacterial small subunit ribosomal RNA
Source: RNAcentral
GAUGAACGCUGGCGGCGUGCCUAAUACAUGCAAGUCGAGCGAACAGACGAGGAGCUUGCUCCUCUGACGUUAGCGGCGGACGGGUGAGUAACACGUGGAUAACCUACCUAUAAGACUGGGAUAACUUCGGGAAACCGGAGCUAAUACCGGAUAAUAUAUUGGACCGCAUGGUUCAAUAGUGAAAGACGGUUUUGCUGUCACUUAUAGAUGGAUCCGCGCCGCAUUAGCUAGUUGGUAAGGUAACGGCUUACCAAGGCAACGAUGCGUAGCCGACCUGAGAGGGUGAUCGACCACACUGGAACUGAGACACGGUCCAGACUCCUACGGGAGGCAGCAGUAGGGAGUCUUCCGCAAUGGGCGAAAGCCUGACGGAGCAACGCCGCGUGAGUGAUGAAGGUCUUCGGAUCGUAAAACUCUGUUAUUAGGGAAGAACAAAUGUGUAAGUAACUAUGCACGUCUUGACGGUACCUAAUCAGAAAGCCACGGCUAACUACGUG